This 466-nucleotide ribosomal RNA is filed under the name uncultured bacterium. RNAcentral describes it as "partial 16S ribosomal RNA". It matches the Rfam family "Bacterial small subunit ribosomal RNA", at positions 28 to 507 of the family's 1533-position model. The record is from RNAcentral.
GAUGAACGCUGGCGGCGUGCUUAACACAUGCAAGUCGAGCGAUGAAGCCCAGCUUGCUGGGUGGAUUAGUGGCGAACGGGUGAGUAACACGUGAGUAACCUGCCCUUCACUCUGGGAUAAGCCUGGGAAACUGGGUCUAAUACCGGAUAGGAGCGUCCACCGCAUGGUGGGUGUUGGAAAGAUUUAUCGGUUUUGGAUGGACUCGCGGCCUAUCAGCUUGUUGGUGAGGUAAUGGCUCACCAAGGCGACGACGGGUAGCCGGCCUGAGAGGGUGACCGGCCACACUGGGACUGAGACACGGCCCAGACUCCUACGGGAGGCAGCAGUGGGGAAUAUUGCACAAUGGGCGAAAGCCUGAUGCAGCGACGCCGCGUGAGGGAUGACGGCCUUCGGGUUGUAAACCUCUUUCAGUAGGGAAGAAGCGAAAGUGACGGUACCUGCAGAAGAAGCACCGGCUAACUACGUG